Molecule: ribosomal RNA, 809 nt
Filed under: Bacillus sp. (in: firmicutes)
Lineage: Bacteria; Bacillati; Bacillota; Bacilli; Caryophanales; Bacillaceae
Description: bacterial SSU rRNA
Rfam family: Bacterial small subunit ribosomal RNA
Source: RNAcentral
CAGUCGAGCGGACAGAUGGGAGCUUGCUCCCUGAUGUCAGCGGCGGACGGGUGAGUAACACGUGGGUAACCUGCCUGUAAGACUGGGAUAACUCCGGGAAACCGGGGCUAAUACCGGAUGCUUGAUUGAACCGCAUGGUUCAAUUAUAAAAGGUGGCUUUUAGCUACCACUUACAGAUGGACCCGCGGCGCAUUAGCUAGUUGGUGAGGUAACGGCUCACCAAGGCAACGAUGCGUAGCCGACCUGAAAGGGUGAUCGGCCACACUGGGACUGAAACACGGCCCAAACUCCUACGGGAGGCAGCAGUAGGGAAUCUUCCGCAAUGGACGAAAGUCUGACGGAGCAACGCCGCGUGAGUGAUGAAGGUUUUCGGAUCGUAAAACUCUGUUGUUAGGGAAAAACAAGUACCGUUCGAAUAGGGCGGUACCUUGACGGUACCUAACCAGAAAGCCACGGCUAACUACGUGCCAGCAGCCGCGGUAAUACGUAGGUGGCAAGCGUUGUCCGGAAUUAUUGGGCGUAAAGCGCGCGCAGGCGGUUUCUUAAGUCUGAUGUGAAAGCCCCCGGCUCAACCGGGGAGGGUCAUUGGAAACUGGGGAACUUGAGUGCAGAAGAGAAGAGUGGAAUUCCACGUGUAGCGGUAAAAUGCGUAGAGAUGUGGAGGAACACCAGUGGCGAAAGGCGACUCUCUGGUCUGUAACUGACGCUGAGGCGCGAAAGCGUGGGGAGCGACCAGGAUUAGAUACCCUGGUAGUCCACGCCGUAAACGAUGAGUGCUAAGUGUUAAAAGGGAUUUCCGCCCGUUAGUG